AAGCCCUGGAAACGGGGUCUAAUACCGGAUGACACUCUUCCCUGCAUGGGGGAGGGUUGAAAGCUCCGGCGGUGAAGGAUGAGCCCGCGGCCUAUCAGCUUGUUGGUGGGGNAAUGGCCUACCNAGGCGACGACGGGUAGCCGGNCUGAGAGGGCGACCGGCCACACUGGGACUGAGACACGGCCCAGACUCCUACGGGAGGCAGCAGUGGGGAAUAUUGCACAAUGGGCGAAAGCCUGAUGCAGCGACGCCGCGNGAGGGAUGACGGCCUUCGGGUNGUAAACCUCUUUCAGCNGGGAAGAAGCGAAAGUGACGGUACCUGCAGAAGAAGCGCCGGCUAACUACGUGCCANCAGCCGCGGUAAUACGUAGGGCGCAAGCGUUGUCCGGAAUUAUUGGGCGUAAAGAGCUCGUAGGCGGCUUGUCACGUCGGUUGUGAAAGCCCGGGGCUUAACCCCGGGUCUGCAGUCNAUACGGGCAGGCUAGAGUGUGGUAGGGGAGAUCGGAAUUCCUGGUGUAGCGGUGAAAU
Molecule: ribosomal RNA, 528 nt
Filed under: Streptomyces sp.
Lineage: Bacteria; Bacillati; Actinomycetota; Actinomycetes; Kitasatosporales; Streptomycetaceae
Description: bacterial SSU rRNA
Rfam family: Bacterial small subunit ribosomal RNA
Source: RNAcentral